GUCGGUGCAGAUCUUGGU
RNAcentral lists this non-coding RNA (18 nucleotides) under Arabidopsis thaliana (thale cress). Lineage: Eukaryota; Viridiplantae; Streptophyta; Magnoliopsida; Brassicales; Brassicaceae. The record is from RNAcentral.